AAUAUUUUUAUGUCACUUAUGCACUUAUCAAAUUUCUUUGAGCAUGUGAAAAUGUUUCUUUAAAAACUAGGUGUAUUUUAUUGAAUGAAACACCAUGUCAUCCUAGAGUGACAAGUUCAAAAUUACAAUAGAAAACUUAGUAGACUUAUGAAAGACUAAUCAGAUGUAUGAUGAAUACCAAUGAAAUUACUGUGUACUUUGGACAAGUUCACUCAUAAGGACUAAGUUUUCUUUUGUCUGUAGAUCAAAAAUUGAAAGUUGAACAAGUAUGAUAUUCAGUAUGUAUGUGUUUCUGAACACGUUAAUUGAUAAGUGCAUAGUAUGUGUGUAAUUAUAUGACAUAUAUGUGUGUCAUGCCUAGCUAUGUUACAAGGUGAUGGUAAUCACUAAUGUGGCCAUGAAUCAGAUCACAUUAUGUAUUAUUGCUUUGCUUGGUUAACAGAAAUAUGUAUACUAUCUUGCUAGAAUAUUAUUUCAUAUUUAUGUUUUUUGUUUUACCAAAAAAUAUCGAGCUCAAUUUUAUUUGUGUACUGCAUGUUUUUGUGUUAUAUAUCUGUUGUUGUCUGAAAAGAUAGGGAUGUUACUGAUAUUAUCUGAAUUCAGGGAUAUGCAGUCAGCUAUUCUCUUUUUUUUUUUUUUAAAUUUUGUAAUGUAAAUUAAAUAUAUCAUGAUUGGUUAAUUGAUUGUUUUUCUGUAGCUCAACUCACAAUAUUUAAUUGUUAUGUGUUAAUACAGUUAAACCUGUCCAUGUAAGUGGUUGUCUUAGUAUAAAGGUCUCCUUCCGGUUGUCUUAGUUAUAAACGUCUCCUUCAGGUUGUCUUAGUUAUAAACGUCUCCUUCCGGUUGUCUUAGUUAUAAACGUCUCCUUCAGGUUGUCUUAGUUAUAAACAUCUCCUUCCGGUUGUCUUAGUUAUAAACGUCUCCUUCCGGUUGUCUUAGUUAUAAACGUCUCCUUCCGGUUGUCUUAGUUAUAAACGUCUCCUUCCGGUUGUCUUAGUUAUAAACGUCUCCUUCGGAUUGUCUUAGUUAUAAACGUCUCCUUCCGGUUGUCUUAGUUAUAAACGUCUCCUUCCGGUUGUCUUAGUUAUAAACAUC
Molecule: long non-coding RNA, 1095 nt
Organism: Mytilus californianus (California mussel)
Lineage: Eukaryota; Metazoa; Mollusca; Bivalvia; Mytilida; Mytilidae
Exons: 3
Source: RefSeq, a predicted model, not a curated record